GUGCCAGCCGCCGCGGUAAUACGAAGGGACCUAGCGUAGUUCGGAAUUACUGGGCUUAAAGAGUUCGUAGGUGGUUAAAAAAGUUGGUGGUGAAAUCCCAGAGCUUAACUCUGGAACUGCCAUCAAAACUUUUUAGCUAGAGUAUGAUAGAGGAAAGUAGAAUUUCUAGUGUAGAGGUGAAAUUCGUAGAUAUUAGAAAGAAUACCAAUUGCGAAGGCAGCUUUCUGGAUCAUUACUGACACUGAGGAACGAAAGCAUGGGUAGCGAAGAGGAUUAGAUACCCUCGUAGUCCAUGCCGUAAACGAUGUGUGCUAGACGUUGGAAAUUUAUUUUCAGUGUCGCAGCGAAAGCGUUAAGCACACCGCCUGGGGAGUACGACCGCAAGGUUAAAACUCAAAUGAAUUGACGGGGACCCGCACAAGCAGUGGAGCAUGUGGUUUAAUUCGAAGAUACGCGCAGAACCUUACCAACACUUGACAUGUUCGUCGCGACUUUAAGAAAUUAAAGUUUUCGGUUCGGCCGGACGAAACACAGGUGCUGCAUGGCUGUCGUCAGCUCGUGUCGUGAGAUGUUGGGUUAAGUCCCGCAACGAGCGCAACCCUUACUUUUAGUUGCCACCAUUUAGUUGAGCACUCUGAAAGAACUGCCAGUGAUAAGCUGGAGGAAGGUGGGGAUGACGUCAAGUCCUCAUGGCCCUUACGUGUUGGGCUACACACGUGCUACAAUGGCACUUACAAUAGGAAGCAAAGAGGCGACUCUAAGCAAAUCCUAAAAAAGUGCCUCAGUUCGGAUUGUACUCUGCAACUCGAGUACAUGAAGCUGGAAUUGCUAGUAAUCGCGGAUCAGCGCGCCGCGGUGAAUACGUUCCCGGGUCUUGCACACACCGCCCGUC
RNAcentral lists this ribosomal RNA (892 nucleotides) under uncultured bacterium. Its description in RNAcentral is "bacterial SSU rRNA". It matches the Rfam family "Bacterial small subunit ribosomal RNA", at positions 505 to 1398 of the family's 1533-position model. The record is from RNAcentral.